This is a non-coding RNA of Cricetulus griseus (Chinese hamster), 3932 nucleotides long. The record is from RefSeq and is a predicted model, not a curated record. NCBI's taxonomy places the organism in Eukaryota, Metazoa, Chordata, Mammalia, Rodentia, Cricetidae.
GAAGGGCGGAGGAAACGGGAUCGGAAUUUUUAGGGACAGGAAACAUUUGGUUGGAGGUCCAGACUCCGGAGUUUCUAAAUCUGAUUAGCAUUUUCUCCGAGACUUUCCUGGAGGCGGCUAGCUGGGGUUUAUUCGAGGUUCCUCGUCAAAGGCAUCACAGGCCAUGGAGGCUAUGCUAUCAGGGCUGGCGGUGCCCUUGGUGAUGAGGGCCAGCAGGAACGUGAGAGAAGGCUCCUUCCCUGGGGCAGAGUCUGGCAAUGGAGAAGGAGGCGAUGAUGAGGUAGGUCUUGAGGGCAGCUGAGAGGUAUCCCUGAGAGCGUGCGGGGAGGAAUGCAGCCUCAAUCAAGAACCUGCCGUGGACUUCCACAAACUACCAUCUGUAUCUUUCCGAGCUUCUGUUUCCUCAUUGUGAGACACGGAUGGAGGCUCACACGCCCUUUGCCAGCACGGUGCCAGAAUCUGUCGAGAUAACAGGCAAUAGUCUUGGCUCACAGGAGAUGCAGGAAGCUUUACUGUAAUUGCAUGCAGGAGCUGUGAUAGGUGGUGAAGCCAACUGCUUCGCACAUUUGAAGGUCGACAGAAGGGUCUCUGGAAUGUUUUAGAGAUACAAUGCAGUUAAAACCCCUUCCUCCACACUCCAUCUGAAUGAGGUGAUAGCCGUUCCACAAGUAAAUGCAGAAAAACAAAACAAAACAAAACAAAACUGUCAAUAGAUGAGGUCGGGGAUUCAAAAAGAUGCCCACGGUGACACUGCCAAGUUUAACUGUGCAGAUGUUUAUAAUCCCAGUGUUUGGGUGGCUGAAACAGGAUCAUUGCCAUGAGUUUGAGGCCAGCCUGGGCUACAGAGUGAGAUCCUGCCUUGAACAAGAAAAAAAGAUGUUCUAAGCAAGGGUUGCUUAGAUGUCCAGGGCUUCCCUGGUACAAAACCCUGGAAAGCUGAAGGCGAGAAGCAGGCAGCGGGUGCGGCUUCUGAUUUGGGAUGGUGUAGGUUCAGGGGAGGAGGCUUUCUCCUGGGCAGUGGGUUGAUGAAUCAGUGACUUAAAUAGGGUUCCCUGACCCCAAGUGGACCGACCCUCACUUCUGCUCGUCCUUGGCUGGGACCUCCACAGUGCUGGUCCACCGCUCAGGACCCUGGGGUCAGUCUUUACCGUCCAUCACCCUCUUGAUCCAGUCCACGUAGCUGAGUACUUUGGUGUAGAAGCCGUAUCCCUUGCCACACCCGAUGCCCCAGGAUACAAUGCCUGUGGCCACCCAGUGGAGAGUACGAUUGUCCCAUACCACGUAGACGCUGCCACUGUCCCCCUGGCAGACGCUAUUCACCUGAUUCUCGUCCCCAGCACAGAACAUGUUGUCAGAAAACACCUCAGUCCUCUGCUUCUGGUGGAGCCAGGCCUCACAGGCCUCCCGGGGAGCUACAGGCAGCUGUGAGUAUUUCAACUUUGUCGUUAACCAGCCCAUCUCCACACCAAACCCGCUGACAUAGCCCCACAGGCCGCUGUGGUAGAGUGUCUCAUUGUCGGGCAGGCAGACUGGGAGGAGGUUGGGGCCCAGAGGGACACUGUGUUGAAGCUCAAGGAGGGCGAUGUCCCCGUUGAAAUUGUGGGACUCGUGCUGGCGGUAGUCUGGGUGAACCACGACCCUGCGGACAGGGUGGUUCCCCAGUUUCAGCAGCUCGUCUACGUCUGUGUGACCGAGAAACACUUCCACACUCUUGUUCUUUCUGAGAUAGACGCUGUCUUUGGGGUAGAUGGUAUGGGCAGCCGUCAGGAUCCAUCUGUCACCCAGCAGGGCUCCGCCCCCACGACCGUAGAUACUGGUGAAGGCUUGCCAAGGGAAGUUGCCCAGCUUAGCUGGGGAAGAACCAGAAGUCUUUGGGUUCUGGGCAAUGGGGAUGACUGGUCUUCCACAGACUGCAAGAGAGGAGAGGGAAAAGAGCAAUCAGAAGCUGCAGGAGAUUAGAGACCUGUGAGGUGCUGUGGUGGGUACAAGGAGGCUCCCAGGUGGGAGGAGGCCACCAGGUAUAAGGAGGCUACAGGUGCCAGGAGGCUUCAGGUGUGAGGAGGCUCCAGGUGUGAGGAGGCUCCAGGUGCCAGAAGGCUCCAGGUGUCAGGAGGCUUCAGGUGUGAGGAGGCUCCAGGUACCAGAAGGCCUCCAAGUGUGACUCUGCAGAGUACUGAUGUGAGCAGUGAAUCAAUCUUACAACAUGGGGUACAAAUCCUUGACACAGCAGGACAGUAGUGCCUUCCCGUCUGCUGCCGCAGACAUCUUUGAGCCAUUCCUUAGCUCUGAUGGGACUAUCUCUGGUUCCAAGUUUGUUUUUAGUGCUUUUCGCCUGUUUUCUGUGUCACUCCCUCCUCUAUAACAUCUCCCAUGCCAUCCUUCCCCAACCCAGGCUGCCCUUAGAGUGUUCUGUGGGUCACAUUUGGUUAGGGGGACAGUGCUUUCAUUUGAAAAUAUGGAUUUCACCAGGCAUGUGGGUAUAGGCUUGUCAUCCCAGAAUUUGGGAAACAGGCUACAUAUCCUGGGGAGUUUAAGACCAUUCUGGGCUUUAUGAGAUUGUCUAAAACAAAACAAAACAAAGCAAAAUACAAAAACACUACCACCACCAGCAGCAGCAGCAACAUCCACCACCACAACAAAACAAAACACCAAAAGAAUGAUGGGCUGUUGUAAUGUGGAUGACCUUGAAAGCACUGGGCUAAGAAGAGAAACCAGUCUCAUAAAUUGUGGUUCCAUUUGUAUGAAAGGUUCAGAAUGGACAAAUCCAUAGAGGUAGAAAGUAGACUAGUGAUUAACAGGGCAUGGUGUGUGUGUGUGUGUGUGUGUGUGUGUGUGUGUGUGUGUGUGUGUUUUGCUGGGGAUUUAACUCAAGGCCUUAUGUAUCUAUAAGACCUCAUGUAUCUCAGGCAGGUGGUCUACCACAGAGCUAUCCCCCGCCCCCCAUCUCUCUGAGCCAUAUCUUGACCUCUGGAGAAUGAGGGACACGCUCCUUGCCUUUUCUUUUCUAGGGCCUCUUUAAAUCCUUUUCUUACAAGGUGAAGCCUUCUGCCUUCUCCUCCAUUUCUAUCCCAAUGCUUUCUAUGUCCCAGCCCUCCCAGCCCUGCUGGCAUCUGGCCACUGCAACAGUGCUAGGCAGGUAGCUACUCACCUGGCACACAUUGAGGAACCUGUUCCUUAUCCUGUCUGUCCUUCCAAGUCCCCAAAGAUGGGCAGUUGAAUGUCCCUGUGGAGCAGAAUGAGGGACAGCAAAGAAGUAAGCCAAGAAUUUGGAAUGUCCAGCUAAUAGAAUGGGCACUCAGAAGGCCUCGGACCUUUUUGUUGGAGCAAGACAGAUGGGAACUACUUCCUCAGCAGGUAGGGACUCACCAGUUUGUUUGGCCUCAUAGUAGGGAUCUUGACAGUGGUUCUGAAUCCUGGGACAGUCAGCUCCAGGUGUAGUGACAGCCUCAGAGUCUCCAUUGGGCUGGUUCACAGCUGUAGAGGAUCAGCGGCUCUUAGGGUCUCACAGAGACUUGCAAACUGGCAACUUGGGGGAUGAUUCUGGCUAUGUCUGUAUGGUCAGUGCACAGCUCAGCCAUGUCUGUAUGGUCAGUGCACAGCUCAGUUGUGUCUGUAUGGUCAGUGCACAGCUCAGUUGUGUCUGUAUGGUUAGUGCACAGCUCAGUUAUGUCUGUAUGGUCAAUGCAAAGCUCAGCCAUGACUGUAUGGUCACUGCACAAGAUUGACUCAACAAAAUCCAUGCUGGUUUCCACUGACCAGGUUUUUAAUACUCCAACAGCUUGAAAGCAACUGUGAAAAGUAAGUUGUUGCAGAAUAUUUGUUUAACUGUGCAAAGAUGUGUUGCAUUUCUUUAACUAUGUAAAUGGACAUUGUAUUGUUUACAUUGUGGAAUAUUUGCUUAAUAAUAAAGAUGUGUUGCAUCUGUUUAAUUA